CCUACGGGUGGCAGCAGUGGGGAAUAUUGCACAAUGGGGGAAACCCUGAUGCAGCAACGCCGCGUGGGUGAAGGAGCGUUUCGGCGCGUAAAGCCCUGUCAGCGGGGAAGAAGAAAGACGGUACCCGACCAAGAAGCCCCGGCUAACUACGUGCCAGCAGCCGCGGUAAUACGUAGGGGGCGAGCGUUAUCCGGAAUUACUGGGUGUAAAGGGAGCGUAGACGGCGAGGUAAGCCUGAAGUGGAAGCCCGCGGCCCAACCGCGGAACUGCUUUGGGAACUGUUUUGCUAGAGUAUGGGAGAGGUAGGUGGAAUUCUUGGUGUAGGGGUAAAAUCCGUAGAGAUCAAGAGGAAUACUCAUUGCGAAGGCGACCUGCUAGAACAUAACUGACGCUGAUGCGCGAAAGCGUGGGGAGCAAACAGGAUUAGAUACCCCUGUAGUC
Molecule: ribosomal RNA, 441 nt
Filed under: uncultured bacterium
Lineage: Bacteria
Description: partial 16S ribosomal RNA
Rfam family: Bacterial small subunit ribosomal RNA
Source: RNAcentral